RNAcentral lists this ribosomal RNA (360 nucleotides) under Streptomyces sp. Its description in RNAcentral is "bacterial SSU rRNA". It matches the Rfam family "Bacterial small subunit ribosomal RNA", at positions 352 to 724 of the family's 1533-position model. The record is from RNAcentral. Lineage: Bacteria; Bacillati; Actinomycetota; Actinomycetes; Kitasatosporales; Streptomycetaceae.
CAGUGGGGAAUAUUGCACAAUGGGCGCAAGCCUGAUGCAGCGACGCCGCGUGAGGGAUGACGGCCUUCGGGUUGUAAACCUCUUUCAGCAGGGAAGAAGCGAGAGUGACGGUACCUGCAGAAGAAGCGCCGGCUAACUACGUGCCAGCAGCCGCGGUAAUACGUAGGGCGCAAGCGUUGUCCGGAAUUAUUGGGCGUAAAGAGCUCGUAGGCGGCUUGUCGCGUCGGUUGUGAAAGCCCGGGGCUUAACCCCGGGUCUGCAGUCGAUACGGGCAGGCUAGAGUUCGGUAGGGGAGAUCGGAAUUCCUGGUGUAGCGGUGAAAUGCGCAGAUAUCAGGAGGAACACCGGUGGCGAAGGCGG